AUGGCAGGGCUUGGUACUGGAGCACCAAUCGUGAAGGUGUAUCAUGAGAAAUCUAUAAUCUUACCAGAUGUGUCAAGGGUGCUUGCAUGCCUGUACGAGAAGGAAAUCGACUUUACGAGAGAGACAUUCUCCUCUUACAAGAGCCUACUCAGACUUCAGGCAUCGGGCCAUGUUCCAGUUCCAUUCUAUGAUGGACCUAAUAAAUUCCUAGAAGAAUCAAGAGAAAUCUGCCGCCAUAUAGCAGAGACUUAUGAAGAUCAUGGAUACCCAUUUCUCCUUGGGAAGGAUUCCCUUGAGAGGGCUUCCAUCGAGGAAUGGCUCCACCAUGAAGAACAUAAUUUCAAUCCUCCGAGCAGAUCCUUGUUCUGCCACUUGGCCUUUCCUGUUGCUGAAGAAGAUGAUGAUAUAGACUUGCAGACGAGAAAGCUAGAAGAUGUCCUGGAAGUUUAUGAGCAAAGGCUUGGUGACAGUGAAUUCCUUGCUGGCAACAAGUUCACUCUUGCUGACCUCGUACACCUGCCAAACUCCUACCACAUCACAAAUUCUGAGAAGUUUCUGUACCUGUAUGAUUCAAGGAAGAAUGUGCAGAGGUGGUGGCAUGAUAUUUCUAGCCGGGGUUCUUGGCAGAAGGUGCUGAAGGUUAUGCAUGAGGUGGAGCGGCAGAACAAACAGGAGGAACUUGACAAGCAGCAGCAGCGCAAACAGGAGGAACUUGAGAAGCAGCAACAGCGUCAGUGGCGGAGACAGCAUCCUCCAACCAGCAGAUCCCCGUUCCGUCUAGACUCCCGGGAGCAACCCAGCACAAAACCUCACACGAUAUUGGUUCGCCCCCCUGCUAGUAUCAUCGCUCCCAAGGCUCCUCAAGCAGAGGAGCCUCAUCCUACUGAAACUUCCCGUGAUGAAACACCAGUCUCCUCAAGCAUAAGUAUUCCUACCACUCAUAAAGCUCCAGAUAUCCGAAGCAAACACACUAUCAUUUCUACUACACAUGAAGAAAGACCACCAGCCUCCCUCCAAAGUACUCCUAGAAUUCCUGAAAAAUCUCCUAUUCCUGUCGAAAGAAGAAUCAAUUUUUUUACCCCAGCUACCUCUCCUAUCACUGAGAAACCCUCAAGAAACGGUGCUGAUAAGUCCAGAAUUAGAGAUGCCCCACUUCCUUCUGAAGCCACUGAAAUAGACCUCCCUACUAAAUCCAAGCCAAGUUCAUCCAAAAAAGCAUCUGAUAACCUUCACGAUUUCUAUGAGGCAAGCAGACAUACAGAUGAAGCAGAACCUUAUACUGGAUCCAUCUCACAAAAACCUUCAGAAAUGCUGGACGAGAUAUCUGAAACUGAUGGGCCCAGCAAUGCCAUUGAUCAUGCCGAAACCAGUCCAAGAUCAGCUAAAGAAGAUUCUGACCGACUCAGGACGUCAGGUUUCUGGACUGAGAACACAGCCCCCACUGCUGAUACUCAGGAUAAGAAAUCAGUUCGAUACACUGAGCGUACUUCACAAAGACCUGUUGGAAAUAUUUCUAGCAGAGCUACUGACCAGAGAGUUACAUAUACUUCUCCUGAGAAGCCCCAUUCAACUGAAGCUCAUCAGAAACUGCAGUCUGAGCAGUGGCAUGCUGCUGUAGCUGGGUUCCCUGCUGACCGCAGAAAAGAUGCUUCUCUUCCUAAGGGUGCACGAGAUGACACUCAAGCUAUUCCAUUACAUGAUGAUGAUACCAACCAGGAAGCCAGAGAAACUGCAUCUGCACCAAGGCAAACAAGAGCUCAAGAUCCAUAUGAUACCUCUGAAGGAACAUCAUCCAGAUCACAACCUAUCAGUGCUCCACAUGAUGCUGUUCCUCCGCCCAAGCAAGCAACAUCUGAAGGCCCUUAUGCACGAAAGGAUGUUGUGGAAGCAAGAAGGUUCCAUGUUGACCGCAGAAAAGAUGCUCCUCUCCCGAAGCGUGUACGAGAUGACACUCAAGCUAAUCCAUUAUAUGAUGAUGAUGAUGAUACCAACCAGGAAGCCAGAGAAACUGCGUCUGCACCAAGGCGAGCAAGGGCUCAAGAUCCAUAUGAUACCUCUGAAGGAAUAGGAACUUACCACUCUUCAUCAUCUAGACCACAUCCUGUCAAUGCUCCACAUGAUGCUGUUCCUCCACCCAAGCAAGCAGCAUCUGAAGGCUCUCGACGUGCAACCACACCAUACCUAGCUGCUCAAGAGGUCUUCCAGCAGGGUAAGAAAAGUCCUGCAUCAAGGCUAAUAGUGCCUCAUGAUGCCCAAGGCAGCACUGAAGAAGAGACUGUGGAAUCAUCAUCCAAAGCACAUCCAUUGGAUUCUCAUCUGGCUGAUGUUCGUCCACCUAACCAAUUUUUGGAUGAAGAUGGUUAUGGUGCAAUUACACCAUUGCAAACAGGAGAUACAGAUGAUCCAUAUAAUGAGAAGCGAGAUAGAGGCGUUGCUGCUCCAAAGCGGAUGAUGUCUCAAGAUGCCUUUGAAGAAACGAAGAUGACUGAUUCUGCAGCAUUUGAAGCACAAACAUCAGAUCAUUGGCAAGCUGAUGCUCCUCCACAAAAGCAACGGCCAACUGAAGAUCCUGAAACUACUGCUUCACCAUCCAAGAAAAGAUAUACUGAUGAUGAAGAUACGGCCAAACAAGCUAAGCAUGCUCAUCAGAAACUGCAGUCUGAGCAGUGGCAUGCUGCUACAACUGGUUUGAGUAAGCUAAAGGGAGAAGCUGAUGAUUUGAUGCCUCCUACUCAACAAGCAAAACCUAGCAAAGAUGUCCAACAUAUCUCACCACAAGAUGCAGAACAAGCAAACACUUGGCCUCUUGCACAAGAACCAGCAGGCAUGGAUGGACAACUGGUGCAAGGACCAGAAAGGACAGCUCGAACACCCCACACUGAUAAGAGAAGAGAUGUUUCUUCUAUGCUUUGGCGACAAGCUGCUGAUGUUCAAGGAAUUGCUGAGGACAGAGCAUCAUCUGAUCAGGGAGGUGCUGUAAGGCCCCCUUAUGCACCCAAGGAUACUGCGGAAGCAAGAAUUGUCCCUGCUGCUCUCAGAAAAGAUGCUUCUUUCCCAAAGCAUGCACAAGAUAAAACUCAAGCUGCCCCAUUAUAUGAUGAUGAUCAUGAUACCAACCAGGAAGCCAGAGAAACUGCAUCUGCACCAAGGCGAACAACCACACCACAGGAUGCUGUUCAUCCGCCCAAACAAGCAGUAUUUGAAGGCCCUCGACGUGCAACCACUCCAUACCCAGCUGCUCAAGAGAUAAUGCAAGCUAGGAGAAGUCCUGCAUCAAGGUCGACAGUGCCUCAUGAUGCCCAAGGCAGCACUGAAGAGGAAACAUUGGAAGAAACAAAGUUCGUGGAAUCUGCAUCAUCCCGAGCUCAACCUGUGGAAGACACCUCUGAAGAAGCAGAGACUCGUAACUCUGCAUUGUUUAGAAGACCAUCUCCAGAUGCCUGGCCGGCUGCAGCUCCUCCAUCAAAGGAAGCAGCAGCUGAAGACGCUCUUAGAGUGAGUCAAUCAUCCCCAGCAAGAUAUCCAAGAGCUGAAGAAACCAGCAAACAACCUAGAGCCCCUGUUUCUAUACCAACACAUAUAGCAGCUCAAGAUGCUAGGGAUGUCUUUAGAGAGCCAAAUGUUGCUGAUUCCACACCAUUGCAAAAGAGAUACCCUGAUGCCAAAGAUGUGGCCAAGAAAUCAAAAAUUUCUGAUUCUGCACCACCACGAGGGCAACCUUUGGAUUCUCAGAGAGCUGAUGCUCCAUCAUGGAAGAAAGAAGCAGCUGAUGCUCCAUCACGAGGGCAACCUUUGUAUUCUCAGAGAGCUGACGCUCCAUCAUGGAAGAAAGAAGCAACUGAAGAUCCUCGUGCAACUUCAGCAUUUGACAAGACUCGUCCUUAUGUUGAAGAUAGCACUAGGCAAGCUGCAGACACUGAUUUUGGGCCAAGGCAGAUUGGAGAUGAACACACUGAAGAAAAAAAGGUUGCUGAUUCUGCACCAUCUGUCAGAGAAAGACAUACUUACACCCCACGAACUGCACGUCCUCUGUCACAGCUAGCAGAAGAGGAAGAAGAUGCCCAGGAUAAAUACAGAGAAGGUAGAGAAACUGCACGUCCUCUGUCACAGCAAGCAGAAGAGGAAGAAGAUGUCCAGGAUAAAGACAGAGAAGGUAUGGAAACUGUUUCUGCACCAAAGAAAAUGGUGUCCAGAGAUGCUCAUGACACAUAUGGAGAAAGAAGGACUCCCCACUCUACAUCCACCUCACCCACACCAUCCAAAGCACAACCUGCAGAUUCUCGGAGCCCUAUCAAGGUGGAGAGACCACGUUCUGUUUAUGAGGAGGACCAUCUCGUUGGCCAAGAUAGCCAUAAGCAACCUCAAACCCUCCCAACUGGUGGGAGAGCAGAUGGCUCUACACUAAAGCAUCAACAAGAUCCCGUGGUUCCAUCUAUUUCUGAAGAGAAAUCAAGUACUCCUCCAGCUCCACCCAGAGCAAGAGUUCGUGACGAUCAUCCUACUGAAGAUCCAUUUAAAGGAGACAUUGUUGGUGACCGAAAAGGAGCACCACCUCAAUUGGGCCAAGAACCAAUUUCCCAAGUCCAACGUGCCACAGAACUGUCACAGGAAGCAGCUCCUGAUGGUGAACUGUCCACCAUUGAUCAAUGGCGGCGCACAUCUGUGCCAUUACAAGGUGAUGAUGUGCUGGGUGGGUCUACCAUUGAUCAAAAGCCAACACCAAUGAGUGAGCAAUCAAUACCCAGUGCUCGGCGUGCCAAUGAGAUGGUCAAAAAAGAGCAAAGAAUGGUACCACCUGCACGAACAGGAGCACAAACGCCCGAUGUUCAGCGUGCUCCAUCAUCAUUCUCAAGAGCUGACACGGCUGAAAGAGAUAGAGAGCCGGUACAAAUGCAAGCACCUACUCAACAUGCUCGGCCUACUUCAGUGCCUACCAGAAGAGCAACUCCUGAUGCUCGUGACACUAGUGAUCAAGAGUUUGCAAACAAAUCUGAUGCCCAAAGAUGGAAUGCCUUGAAAGCUAAGCAUGAUUUAGCCAUGACCAGUGAAGAUGAUCGGAAUGCCAGUCCAUCAACUCAUGAUGCUGCUGUUGACAACAAGACAGCAUUGCCUGCCAGUGAAGCACAAGGUUCAGACACUUGGCCUGGUUCAACAGCAACCCCCGUAAACGCUCAACCUACCAGUGGUGAUGCACGUGUCGGAAGAUUUUCACGUGCUCAAGGGGCACAACCACCUGAAUCAACUCAAGCACAAACCCCUUUUGAUGCUCCACGUGACUCUGUAUCAACCCCAGAUGUACCUCGUGACACCUUGGACAAGACCAAAUCUGCCAAACCAACUUCAACUGAAGGCAUGACACCUACAGCUGCAGCGCCAACUUCGAAGGUCCAACUUGCUGAACAGAAAUUUGCUCCAUCAGAUAAAAAAUUAGCCCCUGCUGCGCCUGAAUCAAGUAAAGAAGAUACUAGUUUUUCUGCUCCUGAGAAACCACAAACAAUUUUUCGUCAAGAAGCGAGACCAUCUGCAGCAAUCACAAAACAAGUUCCAUCCUCAGAUGCCCACCAUGACAGGAAAAUCCAGCAUGUCACCCUUGCUAAAUUUCCCCCUGAUGAUUCACCAAUGCCAGAUCAAGAUUCAAUUCAGUCUGCACAACAAUCUUCCUCAUCUGAGACUAGCAAAGAAGAGACUAUCGUUGCUGCAGCUGGACCGACAUUGCCAACAACCGUCGAUAAAGACACACAAGUUUCUGGACGCCCUAUCAAGGCGGAGAGAACACCUUCUGUUUAUCAGGAGGACCAUCUGGUUGCCCAAGACAGCCAUGAGCAACCGCAAACCCUCCCAACUGUUGGCAAAGCAGAUGGCUCUACACCAAAGCGUCAACAAGAUCCUGAAGAGAAACCAAGUACUACUCCAGCUCCAUCCAGAGUAAGAGUUAGUGACGGUCAUCCUACUGAAGAGCCAUUUAAAGGGGACAUUGUUGAUGACCGAAAAAGAGCACCACCUCUAUUGGGCCAAGAACCAACUUCCCAAGUCCAACGUGCCACUGAACUGUCGCAGGAAGCAGCUCCUGAUGGAGAUAUGUCUAGCAAACCAUCCACCAUUGAUCAAUGGCGGCGCACAUCUGUGCCGAUACAAGGAACUUCCAAUUCUGGUGAUGAUGUGCUGGGUGGGUCUACCAUUGAUCAGAAGCCAACACCAAUGAGUCAACAAUCAAUACCUGGUGCUCGGGGUGCCAGUGAGGUGGUAGAAAAAGAGCAAAAAAUGGCACCAACUGCACGACCAGGAGCACGAACACCUGAUGCUCUCAGCGCUCCGUCAUCAUUCUCAGCAGCUAACACAGCUGAGAGAGAUGCAGAACCAGUACAAAUGCAAGCACCAACUCUGCAUGAUCAAGGGGCACAACCACCUGAAUCAACUCAAGCACAAUCACCUUUUGAUGCUCCACGUGACUCGGUAUCAACCCAAGAUGUACCUAGUGACGCCUUGGACAAAACCAAUGUUGUCAAACCAACUUCAACUGAAGGCAAGGCAGCAGCUCCAACUUUUAAGGCCCAGCUUGCUGAAGAGAAAUUUGCUCCAUCAGAUAAAAAAUUAGGUCGUGCUGCACGACCAACUUCAACUGAAGGCAUGACACCUACAGCUGGACCAGCGCCAACUUCGAAGGCCCAACUUCCUGAGCAGAAAUUUGCUCCAUCAGAUAACAAACCUGAGAAACCACAAACAAUUUUUCGUCAAGAAGCGAGUCCAUCUGCGCCAAUCACAAAACAAGUUCCAUCCUCAGAUGCCCAUCAUGAUACUAGGAAAAUCCAGCAAGCCACCCUUGAUAAUGUUCCCACUGAUGAUUCAUCAAUACCACCUUUUCCAAGUCAUGAACAAGUUUCCCAUGCACCACAAGCAUUCCCUAGUAAAAAAGACAGGGCACCUGCACCAGGCACAAAGGACUCUCCAGCCUCAAAUACCCAAAUUGCUUCAGCAAAAGUCCAGGAAACUAUGCCUGACAAUUAUGGCAUUGAUGAGUUAACAGUGCCAUCUGUCUCAAGUGAAAAGCAAGGUUCCUAUGCUGGAUCUUCUACUGAACCACAUGAAGGAUCAUUUCCUGAUGCUUAUGGUGCCACAGAUGACAAGGACAUAACUAAAUAUCCAUCUAGGCAAGCACCAGUUUUAGAAUAUAGGCCUGAUUCAACACCAGCUGAUAGUUAUGUUCGUCCCAUCAGUGGUAGCGAAGUAUUUCCUGCUGUAAAGAAAUCUGCCCCAUCAGAUAAAGAUUCAAUUCAGUCUGCCCAACAACCUUCUCCAGCUGAGACUAGGAAAGAAGAGACUAUCUUUGCUGCAGCUGAACCGACAUUGCCAACAACCGUCAGUAAAGACACACAAGUUUCUCGGCGCCCUAUCAAGGCGGAGAGAACACCUUCUGCAUAUCAGGAGGACCACCUGGUUGCCCAAGACAGCCAUGAGCAACCUCAAACCCUCCCAACUGGUGGCAGAGCAGAUGAUUCUACACCAAAGCGUCAACAGGAUCCUAAAGAGAAAUCAAGUACUCCUCCAGCUCCACCCAGAGCAAGAGUUCGUGACGAUCAUCCUACUGAAGAGCCUUUUAAUGGAGACACUGUUGAUGAGCAAAAAGUAGCACCACCUCUAUUGGGCCAAGAACCAACUUCCCAAGUCCAACGUGCCACUGAACUUUCACAGGAGGAAGCAGCUCCCGAUGGAGAUAUGUCCAGCAAACCUUCGACCAUUGGUCAAUGGCAGCGCACAUCUGUGCCGUUACAAGCUAUAACUCCCAAUUCUGGUGAUGAUGUGCUGGGUAGGUCUACCAUUGAUCAAAAGCCAACACCAAUGAGUGAACAAUCAAUACCCAGUGCUCGGGGUGCCAGUGAGAUGGUAGAAAAAGAGCAAAGAAUGGCACCACCUGCACGACCAGGAGCACGAACACCCGAUGUUCUGAACGCUCCAUCAUCAUUCUCAGCAGCUGACAGAGCUGAGAGAGAUGGAGAACCAGUACAAAUGCAAGCACCAACUCUGCAUGAUCAAGGGGCACAACCACCUGAAUCAACUCAAGCACAAUCACCUUUUGAUGCUCCACGUGACUCGGUAUCAACCCAAGAUGUACCUAGUGAUGCCUUGGACAAAACCAAUGUUGCAAAACCAACUUCAACUGAAGGCAAGGCACCUACGCCAACUUCGAAGGCCCAGCUUGCUGAAGAGAAAUUUGCUCCAUCAGAUAAAAAAUUAGCUCGUGCCGCACGACCAACUUCAACUGAAAGCAUGCCACAUACAGCUGGACCAGCGCCAAGUUUGAAGGCUCAACUUUCUGAGCAGAAUUUUGCUCCAUCAGAUAAAAAACCUGAGAAACCACAGACAAUUUUUCGUCAAGAAGCGAGACCAUCUGUGCCAAUCACAAAACAAGUUCCAUCCUCAGAUGCCCAUCAUGGUACUAGGAAAAUCCAGCAAGUCACCCUUGAUAAUGUUCCCACUGAUGAUUCAUCAAUACCACCUUUUCCAAGUCAUGAACAAGUUUCCCAUGCACCACAAGCAUUCCCUAGUAAAAAAGACAGGGCACCUGCACCAGGCACAAAGGACUCCCCAGCCUCAAAUACCCAAAUUGCUUCAGCAAAAGUCCAGGAAACUAUGCCUGACAAUUAUCGCACUGAUGAGUUAACAGUGCCAUCUGUCUCAAGUGAAAGACAAGGUUCCUAUGCUGGAUCCUCUACUGAACCACAUGAAGGAUCAUCUCCUGAUGCUUAUGGUGCUGCAGAUGACAAGGACAUAACUAAAUAUCCAUCUAGGCAAGCACCAGUUUUAGAAUAUAGGCCUGAUUCAACACCAGCUGAUAGUUAUGUUCGUCCCAUCAGUGGUAGCGAAGUAUUUCCUGCUGUAAAGAAAUCUGCCCCAUCAGAUCAAGAUUCAAUUCAGUCUGCCCAACAACCUUCUCCAGCUGAGACUAGGAAAGAAGAGACUAUCUUUGCUGCAGCUGGACCGACAUUGCCAACAACCGUCAGUGAAGACACACAAGUUUCUCGGCGCCCUAUCAUGGCGGAGAGAACACCUUUUGCUUAUCAGGAAGACCAUCUGGUUGCCCAAGACAGCCAUGAGCAACCUCAAACCCUCCCAACUGGUGGCAGAGCAGAUGAUUCUAGACCAAAGCGUCAACAGGAUCCUAAAGAGAAAUCAAGUACUCCUCCAGCUCCACCCAGGGACGAUCAUCCUACCGAAGAGCCUUUUAAUCGAGACACUGUUGAUGAGCAAAAAGGAGCACCAACUCUAUUGGGCCAAGAACCAACUUCCCAAGUCCAACGUGCCACUGAACUUUCACAGGAGGAAGCAGCUCCAGAUGGAGAUAUGUCCAGCGAACCUUCCACCAUUGGUCAAUGGCAGCGCACAUCUGUGCCGUUACAAGGUAUAACUCCCAAUUCUGGUGAUGAUGUGCUGGGUGGGUCUACCAUUGAUCAAAAGCCAACACCAAUGAGUGAACAAACAAUACCCAGUGCUCGGGGUGCCAGUGAGAUGGUAGAAAAAGAGCAAAGAAUGGCACCACCUGCACGACCAGGAGCACGAACACCCGAUGUUCUGAGCGCUCCAUCAUCAUUCUCAGCAGCUGACAGAGCUGAGAGAGAUGGAGAACCGGUACAAAUGCAAGCACCAACUCUGCAUGAUCAAGGGGCACAACCACCUGAAUCAACUCAAGCACAAUCACCUUUUGAUGCUCCACGUGACUCGGUAUCAACCCAAGAUGUACCUAGUGACGCCUUGGACAAAACCAAUGUUGCCAAACCAACUUCAACUGAAGGCAAGGCAGCAGCUCCAACUUUUAAGGCCCAGCUUGCUGAAGAGAAAUUUGCUCCAUCAGAUAAAAAAUUAGCUCGUGCCGCACAACCAACUUCAACUGAAAGCAUGACACCUACAGCUGGACCAGCGCCAAGUUCGAAGGCUCAACUUUCUGAACAGAAUUUUGCUCCAUCAGAUAAAAAACCUGAGAAACCACAGACAAUUUUUCGUCAAGAAGCGAGACCAUCUGCGCCAAUCACAAAACAAGUUCCAUCCUCAGAUGCCCAUCAUGAUACUAGGAAAAUCCAGCAAGUCACCCUUGAUAAUGUUCCCACCGAUGAUUCAUCAAUACCACCUUUUCCAAGUCAUGAACAAGUUUCCCAUGCACCACAAGCAUUCCCUAGUAAAAAAGACAGGGCACCUGCACCAGGCACAAAGGACUCCCCAGCCUCAAAUACCCAAAUUGCUUCAGCAAAAGUCCAGGAUACUAUGCCUGACAAUUAUCGCACUGAUGAGUUAACAGUGCCAUCUGUCUCAAGUGAAAGACAAGGUUCCUAUGCUGGAUCCUCUACUGAACCACAUGCAGGAUCAUCUCCUGAUGCUUAUGGUGCUGCAGAUGCCAAGGACAUAACUAAAUAUCCAUCUAGGCAAGCACCAGUUUUAGAAUAUAUGCCUGAUUCAACACCAGUUGAUAGUUAUGUUCGUCCCAUCAGUGGUAGUGAAGUAUUUCCUGCUGUAAAGAAAUCUGCCCCAUCAGAUCAAGAUUCAAUUCAGUCUGCAAAACAACCUUCCCCAGCUGAGACCAAGAAAGAAGAGACUAUCGUUGCUGCAGCUGAACCGACAUUGCCAACAAUUGUCGGUAAAGACACAGAAGGUAUGAGAGGCACUCCAACCUUUGAUUACGAGCCCACGGGAGAUAAACGUGCUGAUAUUCAGAGUGGUAGAUCUGAUGAAGUAGCCCUUCCAGAACAGAAAUCCGGACCCUCAGAUCGGGAUUCAGCUCGUUCUACACAAUCAAGAUCCUCUGCUGAGCCUAUGGAUAAAGAGCUUAAUUAUCCAAGUUCUGCAAAACCACUUUCCUCUGCCACACCUGACCAGACAAAGGACUCACAACCUACUAUUGGUCAACAAGCGCCUGCACCAGGAACAUCAGAAUAUCCAUCCUCAGAACCACUUUCUGUUGUUGAAAGAAAUGAAAAAAUUACUGUUGCUGAAGCUGAAAGCAAAGUGUCUCGACCAGUCAUCGCUCAGCAAGACGUUAAGCAUGUACCAGGCAUUUCAGAACCAGCACUUGAUAAUGUUUCGACGGAAGAAGAAUAUCAACGUGCUUCUGAGCCACGUGAAGGACCACCUCCUGAUGUGCAUGGCACCCUCGUUGACAGAAAGACAGCUCCCUCUUCUAGUCAAGUACAAAGUCCAGAUGCAAAACGUGAUGUGCUACCAUUGAGUGUUGAUGUUGCCAAAAAAACAGUUCCACCUUCUAGUCAAGCACAAAUUCUACCAUCGAGUGUUGAUGUUGGUCCUAGCAGUGAUGAACAGUCAACUACAAGACUUAGACGCGAUCAAGAGGCACAGGCGCAGCUACCUGCAGCAACUAAGAAACCACCACCUUUUGAGACUCCAGUCUACUCUAAAUCUAACCAAGAUGCCCCUAAGUCCUUCAAACUACCCUCUGGUGAUCAAGAUGUCAUGUCACCUAAAGUGGUGCCAGCAUCAGCAUCAGACACUCAAUUUGGUAAAGUAUCUGAUGAAAUAACUGAUGAUGGGCAAAACUCCCCUUUGUCAGCUCAAGAUAUAGCUCGUUCUGCACAAAGGCCUUCCUUUGUUGAGCCAACAGAAGAAGAUGGUAUUGUUGCUGCAUCCGAUCAAACUAACGAGGCACGGCCUAUAAGUGGUCAACGAGGAAUAACUCCUACUCCAGACAAACAAAGAAUUCCUGAUCUGCGUGGUGCUGUUGAUGAAAAGAUGUCACUUCCAUCUAGCCAAGCACAAAAGUCAGACAUUAGGCCUGAUUCAGCACCAAUUGAUGACGAUGUUCAUCGUACUAGUGGCGAUGAACCUGCCACAAGCUCUGUACGUGAUUCACAAGCACGGCCUCCUGCAGGAAUUCAGAAUGUACCUGCUGGUUUCUUGGAAAAGACCAAGUCACCAAGACCACUCUCCACUGAUCAAGAACCUACGGCUAGUCCAGCACCAGCUCCAGAUGCUCCACAAGAUCAAGAUUCGAAUCAUUCUUCACAGUUUUCUCCCUCUGUUGUAUCAAGGAAAGAUGUUGCUAAUGCUGAUCAAACCAAUGUAUCACAAGCAGGCCUGCGAGAGCCCCCGAGUUCAGAUGCUAAACUUCCUUCAGAGGAAAUACAAGAAUCUAGCCCCGAUGCUUAUCUCACCAAGUCAGAGAAACCACUUCCUAUGAAAGAUCCAGUUCGGCCUCCACAUGAUGCUUCCUUUGAUUUAUCGAGCGGUGAGAAGCCCACUAGGAUCAAAGGUGAUCAGGCCAGCACAAUAUCAGAUGGCAGUCCCUCAGCCAGCGAAGAAGUUGGUCAAUCUAAAAAUGGUGCAGUUAAAGGACCACUCGCUGCAGAGUUAGUAUCAUCAUUUCCUCAGAAGAACCUCGAAAAAACAUCACCUGAAGAAAAAUGGAACCACCAGCAGCAAACAGAUCAGUCCACCACUAGAUCAUCUGAAGAUAACAACAUCGAAGCCAGUGGAACUAGAAACCCUAACACCUCAACAACGUCUAGAGAUAUACAACCUUCACCACUCAAGGAAAGAAUGCAGGCAGUUGAAGGAUCCAGAAACCAACAACAGUCUGGCCAAGCUGUCUUUCAAUCAAUACAGGAUAACAGAACACAAAUUCAAGAAACUAAGGCCCGAGACACUGCAUUUGACAAGCCUGAAGUGAUUAGGCCUGAUUCAGCCCCAACCAGUGGUGAUGCUCAUCGUACAAGCGGUGAUGUGCCAACCACAAGUUCUUUACGUGAUUCACAGGCACAGCCUUCUGCAGGAACUGAGAAUGUACCUGCUGCUUACUCGGAAAAGGAGUCACCAAGACCACUCUCCACUGAUCAAGAAGUCAGGACACCUCUGACUAUGACUAACCCAACACCAGCUCCAGAUUCUCCGCAAGAUCAAUAUUCAAAUCAUGCUUCACAGUUUACUCCCUCUGUUGUAUCAAGGAAAAAUGCUGCUAAUGCUGAUAAAACCAAUAUAUCAGAAGCAGGCCUGCGAGGCCCCGCGAGUUCAGAUGCUACACCUUCAGAGCAAAUACAAGAAUCUAGGCCUGAUGAUUAUCUCACCAAGUCAGAAAAAGAACUUCCCAUGAAAGGUACAGACCCAGUUCAGCCUCCAGAAGUAGCUGCCUUUGAUUUGCCGAGCAAUGGGAAACCUACCAUGAUCAAAGGUGACCAGGUGAAUACAAUAUCAAGUGUCAGUCUCUCGGCCAGCAAGCCAGUUGGUCAGUCUGAAAGUUCAGUUGAAAGACCACUCUCAGAUGAGUUAGUAUCACCAUUUCCUGAAAAACACCUUGAAAAAAGAUCACCUGAAGAAAAAUCGAACCAGCAGCAGCAAACUGACCAGUCCAGCACUAGAUUAACUAAAGAUGAUAGCACAGAAUCCAGUGGAAUCGCAAGCCCAAAUAUCUUGACAACAUCCGGAGAUAUACAACCAUCUCCACUCAAGCAAAACAAUCAGGCAGCUGAAAGAUCCAGAAAACAACAACAGGCUGACCCUGUGUUUCAAUCAACACAGGACAACAAAAGGCAAACUGAAGAAACUGAGGCACAAGACACUGGAUCUGACCAGCAUGAAGAAAUCAAUCCUGAUUCAGCACCAACCAGUGGUGAUGCUAAUCGUACAAGUGGUGAUGGGCCAGCCACAAGUUCUUUACGUAAUUCACAGGCACAGCCUCCUGCAGAAACUCAGAACGCACCUGCUGUUUUCUCGGAAAAGAUCAAGUCACCAAGACUACCCUCCACUGAUCAAGAACUUGUGACACCUUUGACUAGCCCAGCACCAACUCCAGAUACUCCGCAAGAUAAAGAUUCAAUUCGGUCUCCUCAGUUGCCUCCUCCUGUUGAAUCAAGGAGAGAUAUUGCUAACACCGAUCAAACUGAUGUAUCACCAGCAGGCUUGAGAGAGACCACAAGUUCAGAUGCUAUGCCUCCUUCAGAGAAAAUACAAGAAUCUAGCCCUGAUGCUUAUCUCUCUAAGUCAGAGAAACCAAUUCUUCCUUUGACAGGUACAGAUACAGUUCAGCCUCCAGUUGAAGGUUCCUUUGAUUUGUCAGGCGAUGGGAAGCCCACUAUGAUCAAAGGUGACCAGGCCAACACAAAAUCAAAUGUUAGUCUGUCACCCAGCCAAGCAGAUAGUCAAUCUGAAAAUAGUGCAGUUAAAGGAGCACCCUCUGAUGAUUCAGUAUCACCAUUUCCUCAAAAGAACCUCGAAAGGACAUCACCUGAAGAAAAACCGAAGCAGCAGCAGCAAUCCAGCACUAGAUCACCUAGAGAUGACAGCAUAGAAGCCAGUGAAACCGCAAGCCCAAACAUCUUAACAACAUCUGGAGAUAUACAACCAUCACCUCUCAACCAACCGUCACCUAUGAAGGAAAACAUUCAGGCAGCUGAGGGAUUCAGAAACCAACAACAGGCUGACCAAGAUGUUUUUCAACCAAGACAGGACAACAGAAAGCAAAUCGAAGAACCUGAGCCACAAGACACUUCAACUGACUAUCCCGAAGACACAAAUGGAGCAUCUCAAAGGGCUGCUUCGGAACAACAACAGGGAGAAAAUGUCGGGAGGGUUCAGCGGCAGAGAAAUGACACAAACAAUAGCUAUGAACCAACUAAAGAUGCUCCAAGUAUCAUCCAGGCAGACAAUAAACCUGAGAGCAGCUCGAGAACUCCUGAAGAACCCAGGCAACAAGCACAGCCGGAAGGCAAAACUCGAGGUGGUGAAAUCAUGUCGCCAGCCUCUGAAACCGGGCAGCCUGAAGAAAGCGAUCUCCCACCAAGCAAGAAGGGUCGCACCAAUCAAUCUCAGUCAGAGACCUCCGCCAAACUGGAAGACCAAACCCCCUCUGCUACCCGGAACAGAGGCACAAACUCCAGCAAAUUGGACGGGGCAACUGAUGACACCAAAUCCGCCGACACGGACGAUAAUAAUCCAUCGUCAUGA
This 14937-nucleotide ribosomal RNA is filed under the name Triticum aestivum (bread wheat). RNAcentral describes it as "partial small subunit ribosomal RNA". The record is from RNAcentral. Lineage: Eukaryota; Viridiplantae; Streptophyta; Magnoliopsida; Poales; Poaceae.